This 1204-nucleotide ribosomal RNA is filed under the name metagenome. RNAcentral describes it as "bacterial SSU rRNA". It matches the Rfam family "Eukaryotic small subunit ribosomal RNA", at positions 380 to 1486 of the family's 1831-position model. The record is from RNAcentral.
AGUCCGGAGAGGGAGCAUGAGAAAUGGCUACUACAUCUAAGGGUGGCAGCAGGCGCGAAAAUUGCCCAAUACAGACUCUGUGAGGCAGUGACAAAAAAUAACAAUAGCUUGGUGUUUAACACUAUGCUAAUUGGAAUGAGAACAAAAUAAUAUUUUUAACGAGAAACAAGAAGAGGGCAAGUCUGGUGCCAGCAGCCGCGGUAAUACCAGCUCUUCUAGCAUAUAUUAAAAUUGCUGCAGUUAAAACCUCGUAGUUUGAAUUAUUGUCACGCGGGUAUUGUAUGUUGAUUUAAUUCUGACAUGUGGUAUGACGCGGGCAUUAAAAACAUAUUGCUUGUGCACUUGUUAAGUCAGGUGUGCAGGAUAUAACCAUGAACAAAAAUUGUCGCUCAAAAAAGGACUUGGGUCUAUUGGGAUUUCAGCAUGGGAUUAUAGAAGACGGAAGUGUCAAGACAGAGGUGUCCUACGGGGCUGCCCUGAUUGCAUUUCAAUGGUUAAUGAGGACGAUGCGUGGAAGUUCAUAUUAGAAUGUCAGAGGUGAAAUUCUUGGAUUAUUCUACGAUGAACAUCAGCGAAGGCAUCCUUCAAGUGCGUGCCUGUCAAUCAAGAACGAAAGUUGGGGGAUCGAAGACGAUCAGAUACCGUCGUAGUCUCAACAGUAAACUAUGCCGACUAUGAAUUGGAUAUCGUUUUAAGAGGAUUUUUGUACGGGGGUAAAAGCUCGUAUUGCCUCUGAUGACUUCUCCAGCGCAUUACAAGAAAUUAAGAGUUUUUGGGUUCCGGGGGGAGUAUAGUCGCAAGGCCGAAACUUAAAGGAAUUGACGGAAGGGCACCACCAGGUGUGGAGCCUGCGGCUUAAUUUGACCCAACACGGGGAAACUUACCAGGUCCAAACAGCGUAAGGAUUGACAGAUUGAUAGCUCUUUCAUGAUUCGUUUGGUGGUGGUGCAUGGCCGUUCUUAGUUGGUGGUGUUAGUUGUCUGGUUGAUUCCGUUAACGAACGAGACCUUUGUUGUAUAAUAGGAGGCAGUAGUUUUUGCGUAAAAGGGUGUGUGGGAACUUGCUGGGAUACGAGCAAUCGCCUCGGUAAAAUUGCCGCCACUUGCAUAGCUAGUGUCAGUUUCCUUCUAUACAAGACAAAUACAGAAAAUGUAUUGGAAGUUAUAGGCAAAAACAGGUCUGUGAUGCCCUUCGAUGUUCUGGG